GAUCUGGUGGUGAAAUGAAUCAUACCCACUUCACCUAUCAAUUCUGCCUAUUCGGAGUUGUGGGAGUCCCUGGUUCAAAUCCAGGUCAGGUUA
Non-coding RNA from Mycena leptocephala, 93 nucleotides. Lineage: Eukaryota; Fungi; Basidiomycota; Agaricomycetes; Agaricales; Mycenaceae. The record is from the annotation of a GenBank genome assembly.